Molecule: long non-coding RNA, 2003 nt
Organism: Serinus canaria (Common canary)
Lineage: Eukaryota; Metazoa; Chordata; Aves; Passeriformes; Fringillidae
Exons: 2
Source: RefSeq, a predicted model, not a curated record
AUCAGUAUCUUUUUGAAAUGAAAGAGAGGGAAGGAACAACCCUCUUUCCCUGCAAAGGCCUGGUUUCACUUUAAAUUUGGUAUAUUCAACUCCUGUGUAGAUAAAUUGACAAUACUGAUGACGUUUGUGAUUAAUUAUUAAUACAACCCUUAAGAGGCUGAGCUGUGAGAUGAGACACACUAUCCAGGGUGCAAACACGGAACAAAAAUGUGGGGCAAGCACAGAGCACAAGGAGCUGGAAAGACGGGAGCAAGAUAGCUUUGGUCGGAAACAUGAAGUGAUCCUGGAAGUGAUUGUUAAAUCACUUGGGAGAUCCGUUUUCUGUUAAUGGUCCAUCAUGGUCAGCAGAACUGUGAUUUGCAUAUGAAUACCCAAACUGCAUAAGCAAAUUUGUCAGAGCCAGCCGGAAGAAAGAAAACCUGAGCACCUGGCAUUCUGAGAAGUCCUUUGCUUGUGUUCUCAGAUCACUUUUCUGUAAGAUUGAUAAGACUUGAGCUGAUUUGACCGAAACCCCUGAAAAUCGUGUUCUUACCACACGAUCAGAGAGAACUGCAGAAAUGACAAAGUUUCUUCUCCAGCAAAAACUUAAAGCAUGGUCAUACCCCAAGUUAGAUCAGCUUGUUCGGGGCCAUGACCUAGAAAAAUUUUAAAAAGUCCGACUGACAGAGAUCCCACCAUCUCUUUGGGAAUCCUGUCCUGUGGCACAGGCUUCACAAGAGAAAUAUGGACUGGUCAUGGAACAAGUAAGACCAGACUGUCCAAAGUCAGAAAGAGAUUUCUGAAACAUUUUCCUGUCCCCGGAAAUAUAUGCAGAGCACUGCCUAUUUUUAUUAGCAGCACAAAACUUAAAAACACUUUUUUCUCUCCAGAUUACCACGACCUACCCACUUUUGGUUAGAGGUAUUGCCGCAGGCAGACGCUGGGCAGAUGCUUAUCUAGUGUAAAUCCCCACAGAUCUGUUAACUUCAGCAGGAUGCCAGCUAUUCACUGCCUUUUCAGUCUUGUUUAAAAAAAAAAAAAAAAAGACUGAAUUUGAGAAAUAAUCCAUUUUCUCAUCUGGGGAGAGGCAUUUUUGUUACAGGCUCAAGCAAAACUCCAGCAGAUUUCGGAAGGUACUUGUAAAUGGGGCAUUACUUGGUAAUUACCAUGGUGAUUGCUAAAGGGUCAGAGAGUGGCAACGAGAACAAAGGGGCCUAGGGGGAAAAAAACAGGGGCUCUUUGUAAAAGUAUUCAGAUUUUGUCUGCCAGCGCCAAGAAGCUCGAACUAUCCCCACUUUACACUUUGUUUUUUAAAAAAAGACUAUUUACAUCCCUCAGGCAUGGAAUUACAACCUUGUAGCACCGAGUCCUACGGAGCCUCCAUCAGCAUCACCCCCCCAGAGCUGAACCCAGCCGCGGCAGCAGUGGCGCUCUCAGCUCACCCCACUGCCGGGCUGGUUUGGCACCCAGCAGUGCCCUGUGCGUGGCUCGGGCACACGCACGCACACAACGCGGCACUUCUUCGGCCUUUUUAAGCACAAUUUUUCUUUCCUCGAUCAGCGCUUGACACACACUCCCUAGCCUGGACAUCCACCUGGCUGCGCGCAAGGCCGGGAAAGAGCCCAGAGAGGCUACUCAGCUUGAACUGGGAGCUAUUUCCAAGCGGGGGGUUUUGCCUCCAGCCGCACGGCCACGCCGUGGCCGCGCCUUUGUCUCUGCCUGCAAUCCCUGCUGCAGGCUCCGACCCGAAGUCUUUGCUGCCCAGCUCUGCCUCUGACUUGUUUUGUCGCCAAGGGCUUCCCCAGAAAACCCCGAAGAUGAGUCACAAACUUGGCACACAAAAGGGCUGGGUGCCUGAACCUACCUACGAAAACAGCUUACUUUUGUUAUCGAGUCACGCAAAGCGUGCUCAAAGCUGCCGUUUCCAGGGAAGGGCAACAAGUCUUUUGUUUAAUAAUGCUCAGUAAUACAGUUUAUUCGGCGAUUUACCGUGGUUUAAAUAAAAAAAAUAAGGAACAAAAAAG